This 72-nucleotide transfer RNA is filed under the name Dipodomys ordii (Ord's kangaroo rat). It matches the Rfam family "tRNA". Rfam says of the family: Transfer RNA (tRNA) molecules are approximately 80 nucleotides in length. Their secondary structure includes four short double-helical elements and three loops (D, anti-codon, and T loops). Lineage: Eukaryota; Metazoa; Chordata; Mammalia; Rodentia; Heteromyidae. The record is from Rfam by way of RNAcentral.
GGGAAGGUGGCUCAUUGGUUGAGCGCUUGCCUUGCAUGCAUGAGACCCUGGGUUCGAUUCCCAACCACCACA